GUAGGUGGCAAGCGUUGUCCGGAAUUAUUGGGCGUAAAGCGCGCGCAGGUGGUUCUUUAAGUCUGAUGUGAAAGCCCCCGGGCUCAACCGGGGAGGGUCAUUGGAAACUGGGGAACUUGAGUGCAGGAGAGGAAAGUGGAAUUCCACGUGUAGCGGUGAAAUGCGUGGAUAUGUGGAGGAACACCAGUGGCGAAGGCGACUUUCUGGCCUGUAACUGACACUGAGGCGCGAAAGCGUGGGGAGCAAACAGGAUUAGAUACCCUGGUAGUCCACGCCGUAAACGAUGAGUGCUAAGUGUUGGGGGGUUUCCGCCCCUCAGUGCUGCAGCUAACGCAUUAAGCACUCCGCCUGGGGAGUACGGUCGCAAAGACUG
Molecule: ribosomal RNA, 373 nt
Filed under: uncultured organism
Description: partial 16S ribosomal RNA
Rfam family: Bacterial small subunit ribosomal RNA
Source: RNAcentral